This 411-nucleotide unclassified non-coding RNA is filed under the name Hevea brasiliensis (rubber tree). Lineage: Eukaryota; Viridiplantae; Streptophyta; Magnoliopsida; Malpighiales; Euphorbiaceae. The record is from RNAcentral.
GGAGGAUGCAUUUCUUGCUGAUUUUUCAGAGUUACGGAUGUUUUUGUCCUGCAAUGAAGCUUCCAGGUCUGAAAUUUCAUGUAAACUGCAAUCCAUGGUUAUUGUUAAUGAGCAGAACACUUCCUCCCCUCAGCUUGCUGAAAGUGUUAUUCUUGAAAAGUUUAAUAACCUCAGAACAGAUGAAGUCCAUUCCAAUAAGGUGCUUGAUGUUUCCUGCCUCAGUAACGCAGUUGACCAGUCAUCUGUAGGAAAUGCUGAAGACAGUAAAAUAUUAGCAUAUUCUCAGGACAACUCUCCUAAAAGUUCUAUCAGCGAUUCUUCAUGCAACUGCCCUACAUUGUCUGCAAUUUUAGCAAUGGAUUCUGUAGCACGAGCAUCAGUGCUGAGGAAACGCAUAAACUCGGUAGAAAC